This 512-nucleotide ribosomal RNA is filed under the name uncultured bacterium. Its description in RNAcentral is "bacterial SSU rRNA". It matches the Rfam family "Bacterial small subunit ribosomal RNA", at positions 1001 to 1510 of the family's 1533-position model. The record is from RNAcentral.
UAGAGAUAGAGCUUUCCCCUUCGGGGGACAAAGUGACAGGUGGUGCAUGGUUGUCGUCAGCUCGUGUCGUGAGAUGUUGGGUUAAGUCCCGCAACGAGCGCAACCCUUAAGCUUAGUUGCCAUCAUUAAGUUGGGCACUCUAGGUUGACUGCCGGUGACAAACCGGAGGAAGGUGGGGAUGACGUCAAAUCAUCAUGCCCCUUAUGAUUUGGGCUACACACGUGCUACAAUGGACAAUACAAAGGGCAGCUAAACCGCGAGGUCAUGCAAAUCCCAUAAAGUUGUUCUCAGUUCGGAUUGUAGUCUGCAACUCGACUACAUGAAGCUGGAAUCGCUAGUAAUCGUAGAUCAGCAUGCUACAGUGAAUACGUUCCCGGGUCUUGUACACACCGCCCGUCACACCACGAGAGUUUGUAACACCCGAAGCCGGUGGAGUAACCAUUUAUGGAGCUAGCCGUCGAAGGUGGGACAAAUGAUUGGGGUGAAGUCGUAACAAGGUAGCCGUAUCGGAA